AACGAACGCUGGCGGCAUGCCUAACACAUGCAAGUCGAACGAGACCUUCGGGUCUAGUGGCGCACGGGUGCGUAACGCGUGGGAACCUGCCCUUAGGUUCGGAAUAACUCCCCGAAAGGGGUGCUAAUACCGGAUAAUGUCUUCGGACCAAAGAUUUAUCGCCUUUGGAUGGGCCCGCGUUGGAUUAGCUAGUUGGUAGGGUAAAAGCCUACCAAGGCGACGAUCCAUAGCUGGUCUGAGAGGAUGAUCAGCCACACUGGGACUGAGACACGGCCCAGACCCAGCCGGGUGGAUGCGGGGGGGAAGAUGGAAGAGGGGGCAAACUCCUGCACGAGCGGGGCCGUGGGGGUAAUGAAGGCAUUAGGGUGUAAACCCUUUUGUACCGGGGAUAAUAAUGACAGGGCGGGAAGAACAACCCCCGACCACCGCCGCGCCAGCGGCCUCGGUAAUAAUCGGAGUACAACACUUCUCAUC
RNAcentral lists this ribosomal RNA (474 nucleotides) under uncultured bacterium. RNAcentral's name for it is "partial 16S ribosomal RNA". It matches the Rfam family "Bacterial small subunit ribosomal RNA", at positions 37 to 537 of the family's 1533-position model. The record is from RNAcentral.